RNAcentral lists this ribosomal RNA (124 nucleotides) under Amazona aestiva (blue-fronted amazon). The record is from RNAcentral. Lineage: Eukaryota; Metazoa; Chordata; Aves; Psittaciformes; Psittacidae.
GUUGGCACACACACCGAGUGUGAUUUACCCACGGCGAUCUCAUCUGAUCUCGGAAGCUAAGCAGGGUCGGGCUCGGUUAGUACUUGUAUGGGAGACUACCUGGGAAUCCCAGGUGUUGUAGGCU